GGUGGCUCAGUGGUACAGCGCUUGCCUUGCAAGCAUGAGGCCCUGGGUUCAAUUCCUCAGCACCA
RNAcentral lists this transfer RNA (65 nucleotides) under Dipodomys ordii (Ord's kangaroo rat). It matches the Rfam family "tRNA". Rfam says of the family: Transfer RNA (tRNA) molecules are approximately 80 nucleotides in length. Their secondary structure includes four short double-helical elements and three loops (D, anti-codon, and T loops). Lineage: Eukaryota; Metazoa; Chordata; Mammalia; Rodentia; Heteromyidae. The record is from Rfam by way of RNAcentral.